Molecule: long non-coding RNA, 168 nt
Organism: Etheostoma spectabile (orangethroat darter)
Lineage: Eukaryota; Metazoa; Chordata; Actinopteri; Perciformes; Percidae
Exons: 3
Source: RefSeq, a predicted model, not a curated record
CGCCAUUUCUACGGACUAGAAGAAGAAGAAGAAACAGGUAAACAACGGCAGAACAGGCAGCAGCAUUGCCGUCAAUGCUUCGAUUUGAUUCAAUGACCUACUUUGUCACAUCAAGCUUUUCAUUCACCAUAUAAGAACUCAUCUUAACCCAUGACAUUGUGCUCUUUG